GAUCCUGGCUCAGGAUGAACGCUAGCGACAGGCUUAACACAUGCAAGUCGAGGGGCAGCAUAAAAGUAGCAAUACUUGGUGGCGACCGGCGCACGGGUGAGUAACGCGUAUGCAACCUACCUAUCAGGAGGGGAAUAACCCGGCGAAAGUCGGACUAAUACCGCAUAAAACAGGGGCACCGCACGGUGAUAUUUGUUAAAGAAAUUCGCUGAUAGAUGGGCAUGCGUUCCAUUAGGUAGUUGGUGAGGUAACGGCUCACCAAGCCGACGAUGGAUAGGGGAACUGAGAGGUUGGUCCCCCACACUGGUACUGAGACACGGACCAGACUCCUACGGGAGGCAGCAGUGAGGAAUAUUGGUCAAUGGGCGGGAGCCUGAACCAGCCAAGUCGCGUGAAGGAAAGAAGGAUCUAUGGUUCGUAAACUUCUUUUGCAGGGGAAUAAAGUGCAGGACGUGUCCUGUUUUGUAUGUACCCUGAGAAUAAGGAUCGGCUAACUCCGUGCCAGCAGCAGC
RNAcentral lists this ribosomal RNA (512 nucleotides) under uncultured bacterium. Its description in RNAcentral is "bacterial SSU rRNA". It matches the Rfam family "Bacterial small subunit ribosomal RNA", at positions 15 to 518 of the family's 1533-position model. The record is from RNAcentral.